UAUUUCAAAGAGGUAUUUUUACAAAUUAAUUUUAGUGUUACAAGUAUGUCCAUGACAUGGCUUAAUCCCAUUCUUUACUAAAUUAAAGCAUACUUAUAGAUCUUAUUAUAUUGAUCUGUGAAGACUACUAACUCUAAAAAAACCAUUUCAAUGAAAUUUCAAUUUUGUGUUGUUCAGACAUAUAAAGGUCUUUGUGUUGAUUGAAUUCACAAACAUUACAUGUACAUUGAAAACUGAAAGAACUAUUAGUAUAUAUGUAUACAUGUAUGAGUAAUCUUCAUGGCCUAAAUUAUGGAACAUAACCAAAUAGUUUUUAGUGAGGCUAUAUAAAGUUUAGAACAGAAAGGUAGACAUUAAAAAAAUAGAAACUAGGACCUUUUUUUUAUAAUUGAAAGGCAGAUAUAUUAAGGUGUUUUAUGUAAGGGAUGUGACAAUAUAGAUGACACUAAGAUUGGACUGCAAAGAAUUGUACCACAUAUGUUUGGAUCACAUGAAAAUUGUAAAGAUGCUGACUGGUGGAGGUAUCAUCAAGAUCCAGAAAAAUGUAUGUAAGAUCUUUUAUACUGGUAAUGACAAUAUAUUAUUUUCUGUAUUGUCUUAUUUCUCAAAGAAAUAACAGAUAUAAGAAGAUGUGGUAUGAGUGCCAUUGACACAUCUCUUCCAUCCAAGUCACAUUUUGUAAAAAGAAACCAAUUAUACAUAUAUAUCAAUCCUAAAAUCCCAAAAAUUAAUUCUUUUAUACAAUGUAUGCAGAAUCUAACCGUGUAUUAAGUUUUUGGAAUUAUGGCAGGGUUUUUAAAUUGGUCAACAUUGAGGUCCAAUGGGUCAAAAAUUAAACUUUUGAUUUAAAAAAAAAGAAAUAUCUGGGGGUCUUUUAUAUGCUGAACAUAACCAUGUAUUUAGAUUUUUGAUUUUAGGUCAGACCUCUGUGGUCGUAUCAAGCUGCACCUUUUUUUUCUAAGAACUCCCCUUUUUUCUUAACACCUCCUGCCCCUUUUUUAUAAUUUCGGCCCAUUUACAUAAUUAUUGAGCAUAUAUACUAACACUAAAGUUUCAGGCUAAGUAUUUUGUGAAAAUUAAAAUUCGAUAAACUUUAUUUUCAUUUCAUUCAUUUCCAUUUCAGGUAUAAAAGUUUACCAAAUAAACUGCUCAAGUCUGAAGGAUUAAAGGUUGAAUUGAAUAAUUUAGUGCAAAGAAAUGAUUGGUAGGAGUAAAUCUUUAAAUGAUCUUGGAUCUACACAGUCAAAUGACAGCUUUAACCAGCUUGUAUCUGUAAAAGCACCCAAAUCAAGGAACCAAACAACAGUUUGCACUGGUUGGAUCAGUUAUAAUUAACAAUUUGUAUCUUAUAUACCGGUAUGGGAUUCACAUUUGCAUGGUUGCAGUUCCUGUACAGGUUAAUUACUUGAUCACUGAAGUAUCCAAAAGAAUCAAAUUUCAUAUCACACUAGAACAAAGGGAUAAAGCAGGGAAAAGACAUCAAAUCUCUUAUGGCCAACAACUCAAAAGACAAAGAUUAUUUGUUGGUGACCAUGUGCGCAAUGGAGUCAAUGGUGAAAGUUGGAAAGUUUAUUUUUUAUACAUUACUUUUAUUCUCAAAAGUUGUAAUAACCAGCAUGCCUUGCAAUAUUUUGCAUUUCCUCAGUAAUGGCAAGAGUAUGAGAAGGAUUUAAAAAAAAAACAUAAUACAAAUAUAAAUAAUGUGAAGCAACUAAUAUAAGAUUCAUGAUAUUGCUCAUUAUCUUCCAGAAUACUUUAAUAAUCUUUACCAUAUAAUGGCCAAAUAAAAUCUAUCAAAGAAUCUAUAACCAGAACUACAAAGAUUUUGUAGUCUUGCUUUAUGUAAACAUGCAUUUUAUUAUACAUGUACCCUAAAUAUUAAGGAGAGAUACAUAUUGAUGUGUAAGUUUGUUCAUCUGUACAUUUGUCUGUUUGUCCGUAAAAACAGUCCGUAAAAACAUGUUUUUAUGCUACAUAGCUAAAAAUAAAAAUGUGAGAAAAAAAAUCUGGCUAUUCUAUAAAAUUCCACAUAGUAUAAACAAUUUUUAAUAACACAGAGUUCAGAUUUUUUCUUUAUAUUUUAAAAGUGAAGGGAAAGUGAUGCAUGAUUCCUAUUUGAAAAAAGAUGUUAUUGUUACUUCACAGCUGGGUAAAGGGUUGAUGGACAAUACAAUUGCAGGAGAGUUUUGUCACAGUACUAGGUGCUGCAGCUAAAGAAAAUUGCAGAUUU
This is a long non-coding RNA of Mytilus trossulus (common blue mussel), 2230 nucleotides long. RefSeq lists it as uncharacterized. The transcript is spliced from 4 exons. NCBI's taxonomy places the organism in Eukaryota, Metazoa, Mollusca, Bivalvia, Mytilida, Mytilidae. The record is from RefSeq and is a predicted model, not a curated record.